GGUUGUGUAGUGUAGUUGGUUAUCACAUCGGAUUCUGAACUCCAGAAUCUUCCGGUGACCCCGGUUCGAAUCCGGGCACGACCU
Transfer RNA from Coniochaeta ligniaria NRRL 30616, 84 nucleotides. It matches the Rfam family "tRNA". Rfam says of the family: Transfer RNA (tRNA) molecules are approximately 80 nucleotides in length. Their secondary structure includes four short double-helical elements and three loops (D, anti-codon, and T loops). Further hydrogen bonds mediate the characteristic L-shaped molecular structure. tRNAs have two regions of fundamental functional importance: the anti-codon, which is responsible for specific mRNA codon recognition, and the 3' end, to which the tRNAs corresponding amino acid is attached (by aminoacyl-tRNA synthetases). tRNAs cope with the degeneracy of the genetic code in two manners: having more than one tRNA (with a specific anti-codon) for a particular amino acid; and 'wobble' base-pairing, i.e. permitting non-standard base-pairing at the 3rd anti-codon position. The record is from Rfam. NCBI's taxonomy places the organism in Eukaryota, Fungi, Ascomycota, Sordariomycetes, Coniochaetales, Coniochaetaceae.